AAAUUGAAGAGUUUGAUCAUGGCUCAGAUUGAACGCUGGCGGCAGGCCUAACACAUGCAAGUCGAACGGUAGCACAGAGAGCUUGCUCUCGGGUGACGAGUGGCGGACGGGUGAGUAAUGUCUGGGAAACUGCCCGAUGGAGGGGGAUAACUACUGGAAACGGUAGCUAAUACCGCAUAACGUCGCAAGACCAAAGUGGGGGACCUUCGGGCCUCACACCAUCGGAUGUGCCCAGAUGGGAUUAGCUAGUAGGUGGGGUAACGGCUCACCUAGGCGACGAUCCCUAGCUGGUCUGAGAGGAUGACCAGCCACACUGGAACUGAGACACGGUCCAGACUCCUACGGGAGGCAGCAGUGGGGAAUAUUGCACAAUGGGCGCAAGCCUGAUGCAGCCAUGCCGCGUGUAUGAAGAAGGCCUUCGGGUUGUAAAGUACUUUCAGCGAGGAGGAAGGCGUUGUGGUUAAUAACCACAGCGAUUGACGUUACUCGCAGAAGAAGCACCGGCUAACUCCGUGCCAGCAGCCGCGGUAAUACGGAGGGUGCAAGCGUUAAUCGGAAUUACUGGGCGUAAAGCGCACGCAGGCGGUUUGUUAAGUCAGAUGUGAAAUCCCCGGGCUCAACCUGGGAACUGCAUUUGAAACUGGCAAGCUUGAGUCUCGUAGAGGGGGGUAGAAUUCCAGGUGUAGCGGUGAAAUGCGU
Molecule: ribosomal RNA, 699 nt
Filed under: Salmonella enterica
Lineage: Bacteria; Pseudomonadati; Pseudomonadota; Gammaproteobacteria; Enterobacterales; Enterobacteriaceae
Also listed under: 1 other name
Description: bacterial SSU rRNA
Rfam family: Bacterial small subunit ribosomal RNA
Source: RNAcentral